AUGGAGACUGACGAGCAGGAUGGAGACGACGAAUCCAGUCAGGACCAGGAGCUGCCCUCUGAGAACGACAACAGCCAAUCAGAGGACUCUGUGCGUGGCGGGGACAAUGAGCUGGAGAACGGGGUUGGUCCAGGGGGAGAUAAUUCGGGGACCAAAGGUCACCAGAACCAGAUGUCUACGACGAUGGAGGACAAGAAGAGAUUGUUUACAUUCCAAUAUGGGGAAGACGGACUUCAGCUUAAUCAAGGAGGAACCGCGGCAGAUCUGGUUCAACGAGGGACACCUCAGACUCAGUGACCGGUCCUAUCUCUCUUUGGACUGGGAACCAGAGGUUAAGAAGAAACACUUUCAUGAGGGUAUCACAGAGGACUUUGAGAUGCAUGGAGUAUAAGCCUCAGAAGAAAGCCUUCUUCAAGCUGAAAGACUGCAUCGAGUUGUUCACCACCAAAGAGAAGCUCGGCGCUGAGGACCCAUGGUACUGUCCAAAAUGCAAGGAGCACCAGCAGGCCACUAAGAAGAUGGACCUGUGGUCUCUGCCACCUGUCCUGGUGGUCCAUCUGAAACGCUUCUCCUACAGCAGAUACAUGAGGGACAAGCUGGAUUCACUAGUUGAUUUCCCACUCAGUGACAUGGAAAUGUCAGAGUUCCUGAUCGACCCUAAUGCUGGUCCCUGUCGCUACGAUCUCAUUGCGGUCUCCAACCACUAUGGAGGCAUGGGACGAGGACACUAUACUGCUUAUGCGAAGAACAAGGAUGAUGACAAGUGGUACAACUUUGACAACAGCAGUGUCUCUCCAGCCAACAAAGAUCAGAUAGUGUCCAAAGCAGUGCUGUUCUACCAACGCCAGGACACAGUGAAUGGAACAGGCUACUUCGAUCUGGACCGAGAGGAGGAGAACAGAGAUGGGGAGGAGGAGAGGAAGAGCGUCGCUUUAUCCCAGGGGGCCUCUGCUUCAGUCCAGAGCAACGAAGAUGUAAACGACAAUGUCACCAUGAAAACCAACUGAGCUGGAGAAACAGAGACAGAGCGAGAGACAACAAUAUCCAUCCUAAGCCAUAUCGACAGACACCGAGCAGUGGGCCAGGCCUGAGGCUGUGCACUGACCUCUGACCCCAUCCAGCCCUAUGAAGAGUAGGCUACAGGGGAAAAUAAAAACUGAGAGGUUUGUCAGUGCUGGAACACCCAAGCAACAUUACUAAAGAAAUCAGGGCCUAUAGAUGUCUGUGGCCUGACUGACCGGUCUUAUUCGUGUCGCAGUGAGUCUUCUCCAUGUCCAUUCUACAUGAAUCAUCCACUCUGGAGGAAAAAUAAGUCAAGCUCUGUUCUGAUUCUGAACAAUGACAUAAUCCUGAAAUCUAAUGGAUCCAUUAGAAGUGUUAGGAAGGCCUGCAUUACGAAGUUCAGUUCGUCAUAGAAUCAAGCACAGAAUUUCACAGUGCAGUGGUGUCGCUGCUUUGGCACUUCGAACCGAUACUCCCACCCACCUGCUUUAAUUUUGUUACGUUUUUAUAUUUUUGAGAGCGCAAUGCAUUACCAUACCAUUUUACCAUUCUUUUUAAGCUAGGCUUUGUAAAUAUAUAUUUUUUAAUGAACACUGAAUUAUUAUUUUUAUUAAGUUUUAAUGAUGCGCUGAAGCCUUUUUGGGAAUUCGUCCUAAUACUUUUAUUUUGUUGCACAAUCACCUCUACCCUCAUUUAAAAAAAAAUAUGAGUCUUAUAUUAGUGUCAUGUACUGCAAUUGAUUUACAAAUUACUCUGAGCCAGGGUCUUCUCAGUUAAAAUGCUUUGAAUGCCUUUUUAAACACUGGUCAACAGAACACACAUCCACACAUAGUGACUGCUCUGUGUAGAGUAGGAGUGCUGAUCUAUGAUCAUUUUUGCCUUUAGGAUCAUACUGAAUACGGUUAUAUGGACAGGGAGGGACCUGAUCCUAGAUCAGUCCUCCUACUCUGCUUUGUAUAUGUGAGGAGGAAGAGCAAAAUACAUUUCAUAAUGUAAAACAGCCAAACCAGUCAUGUGGUGAACUUGCAUUUUAGACACAACUAAUGUACACAAUAUGAGCCUUAUGAUUUAAGUGUUUUAUUCUGCUGGUCCUUACAUUAAGUAUCCUCCUAGCAGCAUGAAGUCAAGUUCCAGAAACAACCCCUAGACACUUUUGUAGAUCUGAAAUGAUCCGAUAGGUAUGCGAAAUGGGGCGAAAAAUUCACCUAUCACAUGACAAGGUGGAGCUACUACCAUAUUGCUCACACCCAAUUCUUUCAGAUCUGCAUAAGUGAUUAGGAGACGUGCAUAUUAGGUAGGGGCUUUUCUGGGACGGACCCACCACUCUUAGGCUGUAUGUUGCAUUACGAGCUUUACAUGGCGUCUCCUACGCUACCUGCUCCCUCUAGAGGCUUUUUGAGAUUAUGAAUAUUGGUGAUACAUUAGAUUUCUGUUUCUUGGUUGGAUCACCUCAGCCUUAACUAGUCUUUAGCACAUUAUUACGUCACGCUGUUUGUGCAUGGCCCCGAAACACACACACACACACACACACACACACACACACACACACACACACACACACACACACACACACACACACACACACACACACACACACACACACACACACACACACACACACACACACACACACACACACACACACUUAAACAGGACACAGAUACGAGCUGAAACUCAUUCAUACACUCACAGGAACACUUACGUUCACACCCUCAACUCUACCUUUGCUGUUCCCAACAGAAACAUACACGAAUAGCAACCGCUGCUCCCGGAAUUCAAACUUCUUUUUUUUAAUCAAAUGCGAGAGCCCGAAUGUAUGCUGAAUGACUGACUUGAACUGAUCCACUUGUAAGGCCAGGUUGUUUUUUUGCCUCAUCUUUUCUUGCUUUGGUUAAAUGUGAGGGGGGAAAUAGUAGAGGGUUCAUUACCUUUGAUAGAAAUACCUGGGUACUGCUGUAUGUGUCCACUCUUCCAAGGGAAAAUAAUGCUUUAUUGUGGUUUGAGCAUGGAGUAGGGUCUUUCACUGUCGAGGGCGGGAGGGAUGGGUGAAGGGUAGUAUUAC
This is an RNA transcript of Oncorhynchus keta (chum salmon), 3064 nucleotides long. It is a transcript of the gene named ubiquitin carboxyl-terminal hydrolase 15-like, with no coding region annotated. The transcript has 7 exons. Lineage: Eukaryota; Metazoa; Chordata; Actinopteri; Salmoniformes; Salmonidae. The record is from RefSeq and is a predicted model, not a curated record.